CUAAUGCUAAACACCAUGUACUCUGUUUCUCUUCUGCUGUUUCUGGCAGCUGCAUCCUGUGUUGAAUGCAUUGAGCUGGUCCAGCCUGCUGCCAUGGUUGUUAAACCUGGACAGUCUUUCUCCAUCACCUGUAAGGUUACGGGAUAUUCGGUCACCAGUAGAUACUGUACUAACUGGUUACGACACUCAGCAGGAAAAGCUCCAGAAUGGAUAGGAUAUUUCUGCAGUACGAGCAGUACUGGGGCCAAAGACUCACUAAAGAGCAAGAUCAGCUUCACUGCAGACUCGUCCAGCAACACAGUGUAUCUAAGAGGGCAGAACUUUCAGCCUGCAGACAGCGCAGUGUAUUACUGUGCUCGAGAUGCACAGUCAUGCAACCAGCUGUAG
Colossoma macropomum (tambaqui) is the source of this 387-nucleotide non-coding RNA. The record is from the annotation of a RefSeq genome assembly. NCBI's taxonomy places the organism in Eukaryota, Metazoa, Chordata, Actinopteri, Characiformes, Serrasalmidae.